RNAcentral lists this ribosomal RNA (616 nucleotides) under Hansenula anomala. Its description in RNAcentral is "eukaryotic LSU rRNA". It matches the Rfam family "Eukaryotic large subunit ribosomal RNA", at positions 38 to 667 of the family's 3401-position model. The record is from RNAcentral. Lineage: Eukaryota; Fungi; Ascomycota; Saccharomycetes; Phaffomycetales; Wickerhamomycetaceae.
GCAUAUCAAUAAACGGAGGAAAAGAAACCAACAGGGAUUGCCUCAGUAACGGCGAGUGAAGCGGCAAAAGCUCAAAUUUGAAAUCUAGCACCUUCGGUGUUCGAGUUGUAAUUUGAAGAUGGUAACCUUGGGUUUGGCUCUUGUCUAUGUUCCUUGGAACAGGACGUCAUAGAGGGUGAGAAUCCCGUCUGAUGAGAUGCCCAUUCCUAUGUAAGGUGCUAUCGAAGAGUCGAGUUGUUUGGGAAUGCAGCUCUAAGUGGGUGGUAAAUUCCAUCUAAAGCUAAAUAUUGGCGAGAGACCGAUAGCGAACAAGUACAGUGAUGGAAAGAUGAAAAGAACUUUGAAAAGAGAGUGAAAAAGUACGUGAAAUUGUUGAAAGGGAAGGGCAUUAGAUCAGACUUGGUGUUUUACGAUUAUCUUCUCUUCUUGAGUUGUGCACUCGUAUUUCACUGGGCCAGCAUCGAUUCGGAUGGCAAGAUAAUGGCAGUUGAAUGUGGCUUCACUUCGGUGGAGUGUUAUAGCUUCUGCUGAUAUUGCCUGUCUGGAUCGAGGGCUGCGUCUUUUGACUAGGAUGCUGGCGUAAUGAUCUAAUGCCGCCCGUCUUGAAACACGGACC